This 253-nucleotide ribosomal RNA is filed under the name uncultured bacterium. Its description in RNAcentral is "partial 16S ribosomal RNA". It matches the Rfam family "Bacterial small subunit ribosomal RNA", at positions 524 to 776 of the family's 1533-position model. The record is from RNAcentral.
UACAGAGGUCCCAAGCGUUGUUCGGAUUCACUGGGCGUAAAGGGUGCGUAGGCGGUUUGACAAGUCUGAUGUGAAAUCUUCGAGCUUAACUCGAAAAUGGCAUUGGAAACUGUCGGGCUAGAGGAUUGGAGGGGAGACUGGAAUUCUCGGUGUAGCAGUGAAAUGCGUAGAUAUCGAGAGGAACACCAGUGGCGAAGGCGAGUCUCUAGACAAUUCCUGACGCUGAGGCACGAAAGCUAGGGGAGCAAACAGG